GACGUAGGGCGCGAGCGUUGUCCGGAUUUAUUGGGCGUAAAGAGCUCGUAGGCGGCUCAUCGCGUCAACCGUGAAAACCAGCAGCUCAACUGUUGGCUUGCGGUUGAUACGGGUGGGCUGGAGUUCGGUAGGGGAGACUGGAAUUCCUGGUGUAGCGGUGAAAUGUGCAGAUAUCGGGAGGAACACCGGUGGCGAAGGCGGCGACCUGGGUCGACACUGACGCUGAGGCGCGAAAGCGUGGGGAGCAAACAGG
This 253-nucleotide ribosomal RNA is filed under the name uncultured bacterium. RNAcentral describes it as "partial 16S ribosomal RNA". It matches the Rfam family "Bacterial small subunit ribosomal RNA", at positions 524 to 776 of the family's 1533-position model. The record is from RNAcentral.